AAAACUUAACAAAUGUAAAAGUUUUUUUUGUUUGGAGACCCGCUAUCUACAUAAAAAAUUUCCCGUUUCUAUUUUUUUGGGUAUUUUUAGGGUCUGAAACUUUUUCCAAACUGACCCAAACCCAACUGGAUCUGACCCGAACCAGAACCGAAUGUUUAGAAUUAUUGUAUUAGGUAGUAAAUCAUAUACCCAUCAAUCCCAAACCCGAACGGGUUCUACCCGAACUCGAAUGGGUUACUCAUAUGCCCAACUCUAUUCUGUGAUUUAAUUAUCUAAAAACUCCCAAAAAAACAUAUGUUUUGCUGACUAUUUUU
RNAcentral lists this small RNA (314 nucleotides) under Arabidopsis thaliana (thale cress). RNAcentral's name for it is "ATSL016730". Lineage: Eukaryota; Viridiplantae; Streptophyta; Magnoliopsida; Brassicales; Brassicaceae. The record is from RNAcentral.